GAGUGAGUGCAAUACUGCAACCUGGUUUCGGCCCAGCUUUAAAGAGUGUAAUUCUCUUCUCACUUU
RNAcentral lists this transfer RNA (66 nucleotides) under Nephtys sp. 'San Juan Island' YV-2008. RNAcentral's name for it is "tRNA-Ala". The record is from RNAcentral. Lineage: Eukaryota; Metazoa; Annelida; Polychaeta; Phyllodocida; Nephtyidae.